Molecule: ribosomal RNA, 440 nt
Filed under: uncultured bacterium
Lineage: Bacteria
Description: partial 16S ribosomal RNA
Rfam family: Bacterial small subunit ribosomal RNA
Source: RNAcentral
CCUACGGGAGGCUGCAGUGGGGGAUAUUGCACAAUGGGGGGAACCCUGAUGCAGCGACGCCGCGUGGGUGAAGAAGCGCCUCGGCGCGUAAAGCCCUGUCAGCAGGGAAGAAAAUGACGGUACCUGAAGAAGAAGCCCCGGCUAACUACGUGCCAGCAGCCGCGGUAAUACGUAGGGGGCAAGCGUUAUCCGGAUUUACUGGGUGGAAAGGGGGCGCAGACGGCGAUGCAAGCCAGGAGGGAAAGCCCGGGGCCCAACCCCGGGACUGCGCUUGGAACUGCGUGGCUGGAGUGCAGGAGGGGCAGGCGGAAUUCCUGGUGUAGCGGUGAAAUGCGUAGUUAUCAGGAGGAACACCGGUGGCGAAGGCGGCCUGCUGGACUGCAACUGACGUUGAGGCCCGAAAGCGUGGGGAGCAAACAGGAUUAGAUACCCGGGUAGUC